CGGCUCAACCCGUGGAGGGUCAUUGGAAACUGGAGGACUUGAGUGCAGAAGAGGAGAGUGGAAUUCCACGUGUAGCGGUGAAAUGCGUAGAGAUGUGGAGGAACACCAGUGGCGAAGGCGACUCUCUGGUCUGUAACUGACGCUGAGGCGCGAAAGCGUGGGUAGCGAACAGGAUUAGAUACCCUGGUAGUCCACGCCGUAAACGAUGAGUGCUAAGUGUUAGAGGGUUUCCGCCCUUUAGUGCUGCAGUUAACGCAUUAAGCACUCCGCCUGGGGAGUACGGCCGCAAGGCUGAAACUCAAAGGAAUUGACGGGGGCCCGCACAAGCGGUGGAGCAUGUGGUUUAAUUCGAAGCAACGCGAAGAACCUUACCAGGUCUUGACAUCCCGCUGACCGGUAUAGAGAUAUACCUUUCCCUUCGGGGACAGCGGUGACAGGUGGUGCAUGGUUGUCGUCAGCUCGUGUCGUGAGAUGUUGGGUUAAGUCCCGCAACGAGCGCAACCCUUAAUCUUAGUUGCCAGCAUUCAGUUGGGCACUCUAAGGUGACUGCCGGUGACAAACCGGAGGAAGGUGGGGAUGACGUCAAAUCAUCAUGCCCCUUAUGACCUGGGCUACACACGUGCUACAAUGGAUGGUACAAAGGGUCGCAAAACCGCGAGGUCAAGCUAAUCCCAUAAAACCAUUCUCAGUUCGGAUUGCAGGCUGCAACUCGCCUGCAUGAAGCCGGAAUCGCUAGUAAUCGUAGAUCAGAAUGCUACGGUGAAUACGUUCCCGGGCCUUGUACACACCGCCCGUCACACCACGAGAGUUUGUAACACCCGAAGUCGGUGGGGUAACCCUUACGGGAGCCAGCCGCCGAAGGUGGGACAGAUGAUUGGGGUGAAGUCGUAACAAGGUAACC
Molecule: ribosomal RNA, 901 nt
Filed under: uncultured bacterium
Lineage: Bacteria
Description: bacterial SSU rRNA
Rfam family: Bacterial small subunit ribosomal RNA
Source: RNAcentral